UUGGGAAUGAUAUGGUUGUUAAUAUUGUGAGUUAUUGUAAGACCCUAACUUUUAUGAAUAAAGAUUUAAUUUUCUCUAAAUGUUAUUUUGAAUAAUAAGGUGUGGAUUUGAUAUAAUGUUAUAGUUGUGGUUAAUAUUUACAAAUUUUGCAAAGUAAGCAAAUUGUCACAAAAUAUUCGUUUGGUCGGAAAAUAUUCAUUUUAUCAAGCAAUAUUCGUACGACGGCACAAUCAUUGGUGGACCCCACAAAGGAAUUACUAUCAGAUUUAGAAAUCAACUGAAAUAACCUUUUUUAUAAAAAUAACUGCAAGACUUUUACUGUUAACUGUUGAAAUACCCGGUGAUAAAAAUACAUUAAUAUGUGUUGUUGCACAGUAGCACAUUAUAUUGUACAAUAUCUUUGAUUAUUGAUGCUUACAUGAGAAGUCACUCAAUUUUAUUCAAUUAUUGUUGUGGCGACCCCAAAUCCAGGUACUUGAAACCCGAACUCGGUUCUCCACGAUACCAUUUCUUUAAGCUGAAUAAUACUAAAUAAUAAUACAUUCGAACUUAAUUUACAUACAUCAAAG
Molecule: long non-coding RNA, 569 nt
Filed under: Panax ginseng (ginseng)
Lineage: Eukaryota; Viridiplantae; Streptophyta; Magnoliopsida; Apiales; Araliaceae
Description: long non-coding RNA (PGIN_LNC015153)
Source: RNAcentral